Molecule: long non-coding RNA, 2689 nt
Filed under: Salmo salar (Atlantic salmon)
Lineage: Eukaryota; Metazoa; Chordata; Actinopteri; Salmoniformes; Salmonidae
Description: lncRNA (ENSSSAG00000120974.1)
Source: RNAcentral
AACUUUUUUAUUUAUUAUUUAACAAAACGUUUGACAGCCAUGAGUUCACAUUUCUUAAUGUUAAGAUAUAGACCAGACGCUUUGGAAAAGGAUUGUAUCACAUUGAUCGAUAUGGGAAUUUGGUUAGCAUCUUUCAGAAUAAGUGUAGUAUUGUCAGCCAGCUGGCUUAUAAUAUUUUCUUUACCAGCUAUGGAAAUACCUUGUACAGGACUAUUAUUUAAAGAAUUUGUAAGAAGUUGGGUGAUUAAUAAAAACAAGUACGGAGAGAUAGGAAAACCUUGCCUAAUUCCUCUCUUUAACUCAAAUCUAGGUGAGGUGCCAUAUUUCAAUUUGAUAGAGCUGUUACCAUUUGCAUAGAGAGUCUUAAUAGCCUUACAGAAAAAAUCCUCAAAGCCAAGUCUCUCAAGGGGGUGGAAGAGGAACUGAUGCUCUACUGUGUCAAAAGCUUUAUAAAAAAAAUAAAUAAUAUGAAGCUAUCCUUAGUUAUUCGGUCUGAGUAGUCAAGUAUGUCUAAUACUAGUCUGACAUUGUUAGACAUAUGUCUGUUCCUCAUAAAGCCAGACUGUGUUUCAUCAAUGAUCAGGCUCUGGUCUAACUGUUAUAAAGAUCUUUGACGUAGGGCCGUAUUCUGACUUUAGAUCCGUGUGGUUAACUCAAGUUUGUGUGCAAAUCUGACGUCAAUAAAUUACUUUUGACUUUUACAAUGUCUUUCGUUGUAGCAUAAUCAUUUAACUUAUAACUAUUAGAGCUUCUAAUUAUGUUAAUAAAAAAUGUAGACCUCUUAAAGAUGCACUAUGCAGAAAUCGCUCUGCCAUUUCCUGGUUGCUAAAAUUCAAAUAUUCAGUUUAUGUGACAAAACAAGCAAGUAUAGCGUAGAUAAUCAUUGUACCAUCUAAAUCGCUGUGAAAUAUAUUUACCUUAACCAAAAAUAUUGUAUUUUAAGCUUUUUGAAGCUGGUGUACAAAACUGAAAGUAAAAGCGAAAACAAAACUUAAGAACAGGAAGCAUAGAAAUAACGCACAUCUACUGCUUCUUAGACUUGCUUUCAAUGAAAAUGACAGAUCUUUAACACACAUUUCUAUAUGCAUUUUGUCAGGUUGCACAAAAAAGUUACUUAUUGCAGCUUUAAGGAAUCUUACUUCUUUAUUUCUAUUUUGUCUUACAUCUCCACCUACUUGUCAGUACUUGCACUGCACAUAUACAGUUGCAAACACUGAUUCACAUGGAGUAUAACAUGGCUCUACAGUCCUCAAUUAAUCAAAUUUCACUGUAGGUCUGGGGUUGAGGCGCCCAAGUAAGUGUGCAGGUCUGCAACAUUUGAUUUGAAGAUCUUUGCUGGAAUGGUUUUCAUUUUCAACCAUUUGUAUGCCUCAAACCGGUGACAGCCUCCAAAGUAGUAGUAAUUUCCUCCUUCACUUCCCUUGAUCCAGAGUAUAUCAAUGAGAGGAAGAGUGCUGAUGCCUGUAGAUUCCUAUGAGGAAAAAUACUGUAUUUGUUAAGUUUUUCUAUUCUAUUUCAGAGGUCAUUUAUCACACAGAACAGGGAAAUACACGUUUGAUACAUUCAAUAAACAUGGAAAAAAUGUGUCAUUCACACUAUGGUUUAUCAGUCUAAUAUAGUAGCCUAGUUUCUCAAUUAAGAAGAUAAUCUUCACUAUUUUCUUGCCGCGGGUCUGUAUUUAUACCACCACCACUUAACAAUCAACUCUCUUAUGGUUUGAUCUAUGCAGAACUAGGCCACAUUUUUACCGGUAUUGUACCCAUAAGGCUCUGAACUUUGCUCUCGUCUAGUACAGGAGGGAUUGGUCGUAUGAUAACUUCAAUUGGCACGUUAUUAACUUCGACGUUGUCCGUUGUUUUUAUUAAUGUCCAUUACAUUAGGCUAUGAGAGAUGCUCAAUUGUUAGGUAAAAAUGUGUGGUUUCCAUUGCUCCCAUUCUUCAAGAUCGAAACGUUUAGUUAGUGCAGAGAUAUUAGAAAAAUGAGGAGAUAGGAAUCCCAUCGUGCAGGGACGUAUAACGCCUCACCCAGCAGACUGCCGAAAAAUCGCAUUCACGUUGUCAUGCUGCGUCAUGCGGUUGCUAAGCUAAUCAUCACGCAGUCCCUUCUCAAAGUCGGGGUAUGAGUCAAAUCAAAUGUAUUUAUAUAGCCCUGCUUACAUCAGCUGAUAUCACAAAGUGCUGUACAGAAACCCAGUCUAAAACCCCAAACAGCAAGCAAUGCAGGUGUAGAAGCACGGUGGCUAGGAAAAAUUCCCUAGAAAGGCCAAAACCUAGGAAGAAACCUAGAGAGGAACCAGGCUAUGAGGGGUGGCCAGUCAAGAAACCUGCCUAUUUUCCUCGAAAGUACGUAAUGUCACGAUUCCAAAGCUAUACUAUAUUACAGAGAACAAGUGAAUUAUCUCACAUCUCGGAAACUAUUCGUAAUGUUGUACUUCUUGUUGACUAAAUCCAUGCUAAUGUUGGGUUUUUCAGCUAAUGCUCCUUGAAAGAGUGCGCGCCUUGUCCCAAAAUUACCCAGAAUACACUGCGCGGCCCAUUGACGACGCAUGGGCAACGUAAACAAUGGGCGCUAACACGAGUCCAAUGGAACUUCCCAUCUACUCGAAAGUAACUCUGAUAGGAGUCGUACUGGCUUUAAGCACGGAAGACACUGAAGGACACUACCACCACCACCAAUUCAAGUGUGUAU